UACGGGGGGGGCAAGCGUUGUUCGGAAUUACUGGGCGUAAAGUGUGCGCAGGCGGCCGAGCAAGUCGAGUGUGUAAGCCCCGAGCUUAACUUGGGAACUGCGCUCGAAACUACUUGGCUAGAGUGUGGCAGAGGGAGGUGGAAUUCCACGUGUAGCGGUGAAAUGCGUAGAGAUGUGGAGGAACACCGAUGGCGAAGGCAGCCUCCUGGGCCAACACUGACGCUCAUGCACGAAAGCGUGGGGAGCAAACAGG
RNAcentral lists this ribosomal RNA (253 nucleotides) under uncultured bacterium. RNAcentral describes it as "partial 16S ribosomal RNA". It matches the Rfam family "Bacterial small subunit ribosomal RNA", at positions 524 to 776 of the family's 1533-position model. The record is from RNAcentral.